GAUGAAGAACGCAGCGAAAUGCGAUAAGUAAUGUGAAUUGCAGAAUUCAGUGAAUCAUCGAAUCUUUGAACGCACAUUGCGCCCCCUGGUAUUCCGGGGGGCAUGCCUGUCCGAGCGUCAUUACAACCCUCAAGCCCUCGGCUUGGUGUUGGACGGUUUGGUGGAGGCCCCCUCGGGGGCUCCUGCCCCUCCCAAAGACAAUGACGGCGGCCUCGUUGGACCCCCGGUACACUGAGUUCUUCACGGGACACGUAUCGGACACAUGGGUUUACGGGACACGGUCUGCCUCCCCUCAGGGAGAAUCUUUCUAAGGUUGACCUCGGAUCAGGUAGGGAUACCCGCUGAACUUAAGCAUAUCAAUAAGCGGAGGA
Molecule: unclassified non-coding RNA, 371 nt
Filed under: soil metagenome
Description: partial contains 5.8S ribosomal RNA, internal transcribed spacer 2, and large subunit ribosomal RNA
Rfam family: 5.8S ribosomal RNA (bases 1-120)
Source: RNAcentral